GAUGAACGCUAGCUACAGGCUUAACACAUGCAAGUCGAGGGGAAACGACAUCGAAAGCUUGCUUUUGAUGGGCGUCGACCGGCGCACGGGUGAGUAACGCGUAUCCAACCUGCCCAUCACUUGGGAAUAACCUUGCGAAAGUAAGACUAAUACCCAAUGAUAUCCCACGAAGGCAUCGGAAUGGGAUUAAAGAUUUAUCGGUGAUGGAUGGGGAUGCGUCUGAUUAGCUUGUUGGCGGGGUAACGGCCCACCAAGGCAACGAUCAGUAGGGGUUCUGAGAGGAAGGUCCCCCACAUUGGAACUGAGACACGGUCCACACUCCUACGGGAGGCAGCAGUGAGGAAUAUUGGUCACUGGGCGAGAGCCUGAACCAGCCAAGUAGCGUGCAGGAAGACGGCCCUAUGGGUUGUAAACUGCUUUUAUAAGGGAAUAAAGUGGGUCACGUGUGACUUUUUGCAUGUACCUUAUGAAUAAGGACCGGCUAAUUCCGUG
Molecule: ribosomal RNA, 492 nt
Filed under: uncultured bacterium
Lineage: Bacteria
Description: partial 16S ribosomal RNA
Rfam family: Bacterial small subunit ribosomal RNA
Source: RNAcentral